This 354-nucleotide ribosomal RNA is filed under the name uncultured bacterium. RNAcentral's name for it is "bacterial SSU rRNA". It matches the Rfam family "Bacterial small subunit ribosomal RNA", at positions 1 to 334 of the family's 1533-position model. The record is from RNAcentral.
AGAGACGAGUCAGAGUUUGAUCCUGGCUCAGGAUGAACGCUGGCGGCGUGCCUAACACAUGCAAGUCGAGCGAGAAACUCAUGACCAAUACUUCGGUUGCGUGAUUGAGCGGAAAGCGGCGGACGGGUGAGUAACGCGUAGGCAACCUGCCCCUUGCAGAGGGAUAGCCUCGGGAAACCGGGAUUAAAACCUCAUAACGCAUCAUGGAGACAUCUUCGAGAUGCCAAAGAUUUAUCGGCAAGGGAUGGGCCUGCGUCUGAUUAGUUAGUUGGUGGGGUAACGGCCUACCAAGGCAGCGAUCAGUAGCCGACCUGAGAGGGUGAUCGGCCACAUUGGAACUGAGACACGGUCCAA